RNAcentral lists this ribosomal RNA (492 nucleotides) under uncultured bacterium. Its description in RNAcentral is "partial 16S ribosomal RNA". It matches the Rfam family "Bacterial small subunit ribosomal RNA", at positions 29 to 507 of the family's 1533-position model. The record is from RNAcentral.
AGUGAACGCUGGCGGUAGGCCUAACACAUGCAAGUCGAACGGCAGCACAGUAAGAGCUUGCUCUUACGGGUGGCGAGUGGCGGACGGGUGAGGAAUACAUCGGACUCUACUUUUUCGUGGGGGAUAACGUAGGGAAACUUACGCUAAUACCGCAUACGACCUACGGGUGAAAGCAGGGGAUCUUCGGACCUUGCGCGAUUGAAUGAGCCGAUGUCGGAUUAGCUAGUUGGCGGGGUAAAGGCCCACCAAGGCGACGAUCCGUAGCUGGUCUGAGAGGAUGAUCAGCCACACUGGAACUGAGACACGGUCCAGACUCCUAAGGGAGGCAGCAGUGGGGAAUAUUGGACAAUGGGCGCAAGCCUGAUCCAGCCAGACCGCGUGGGUGAAGAAGGCCUUCGGGUUGUAAAGACCUUUUGUUGGGAAAGAAAAGCAGCAGGUUAAUACCCCGCUGUUCUGACGGUACCCAAAGAAUAAGCACCGGCUAACUUCGUG